GUGUAAAAUAAAUACACCCACAUUAAAUAUUGUUUAAAACGCAUUGUAUAUUUUGCUUGCUCAUAUGCUAAAUCACUUCAAUUCAUUGGCUAUUGUUUCAAAAUACCGUUUUAACGUUUAAUUCUACUUUAUAUUAACAUCCUAAUUCAAUACAAAUUUGUGCGAGGUAAAAAACCCACCUGUAUCAAACAGGACGGAGAAUAUAUAAAUAUAUACAUACAAUUCACACGAUCAAGGAACAAAUGAAAUAUUUCGCUAAACUAAAGCCUUGGCCAAACGUAAGAAACAAUGUAGCGGAAAUAUUCGUGAUUUUGAAUUGGCUUUUAUUGCAGAAGCAAAAUUUGCUUCACAAAAUUUCCUACCAAAUUCAGAAGCAUUUGAUGAAACACUCUUUAUCCGUUUGCCGACGCUGAUAAGACAAUAUGACAUACCGAAAGAAUGGAAAGACAAAUAAUAUGACAACAGUGUUUCCCAGUUCGUCCCCGGCUUUAAGGGAUGUUUAUAUAAACUCCUAGGAAAACCUCUGAUUGUAUCUUUAAUGUAUUAUUGAAUAACUAUGCAAGAUGUUUGGCGCUUCUUAAACUGUGCGUUCCACCAUCGUUUAGUAUACUCUAUGGAUACCAA
Non-coding RNA from Paramuricea clavata, 624 nucleotides. The record is from the annotation of a GenBank genome assembly. NCBI's taxonomy places the organism in Eukaryota, Metazoa, Cnidaria, Anthozoa, Malacalcyonacea, Plexauridae.